GCCAAGGUGGCCGGGGGUUAAGGCGCUGCACUCAAGAUCUGAUUGGUUGAUCUUAUCCUGUAUAACGGGACGCAUUGCAGUAUCGAGAGAUGCUUGGGUUAGAAUCCCAACCUUGGCA
Molecule: non-coding RNA, 118 nt
Organism: Fusarium sp. DS 682
Lineage: Eukaryota; Fungi; Ascomycota; Sordariomycetes; Hypocreales; Nectriaceae
Source: the annotation of a GenBank genome assembly